Molecule: ribosomal RNA, 451 nt
Filed under: uncultured bacterium
Lineage: Bacteria
Description: partial 16S ribosomal RNA
Rfam family: Bacterial small subunit ribosomal RNA
Source: RNAcentral
GUGGGGAAUAUUGGACAAUGGGGGGAACCCUGAUCCAGCCAUGCCGCGUGUGUGAAGAAGGCCUUUUGGUUGUAAAGCACAUUAAGCGAGGAGGAGGCUACCGAGAUUAAUACUCUUGGAUAGUGGACGUUACUCGCAGAAUAAGCACCGGCUAACUCUGUGCCAGCAGCCGCGGUAAUACAGAGGGUGCAAGCGUUAAUCGGAUUUACUGGGCGUAAAGCGCGCGUAGGUGGCCAAUUAAGUCAAAUGUGAAAUCCCCGAGCUUAACUUGGGAAUUGCAUUCGAUACUGGUUGGCUAGAGUAUGGGAGAGGAUGGUAGAAUUCCAGGUGUAGCGGUGAAAUGCGUAGAGAUCUGGAGGAAUACCGAUGGCGAAGGCAGCCAUCUGGCCUAAUACUGACACUGAGGUGCGAAAGCAUGGGGAGCAAACAGGAUUAGAAACCCCUGUAGUCC